Molecule: ribosomal RNA, 422 nt
Filed under: uncultured bacterium
Lineage: Bacteria
Description: partial 16S ribosomal RNA
Rfam family: Bacterial small subunit ribosomal RNA
Source: RNAcentral
AAUUUUGGACAAUGGGGGAAACCCUGAUCCACCCACCCGGCGUGAAUGAUGAAGGCCUCCGGGUUUAAAAGUCCUUUGGGCGGAGAGGAAAGGUAAUCCCUAAUUAGGGGUACUGGCGACCGUAACUUGCGAAUAAGCCCCCGCUUACUAAGUGGCAAGCGCCGCGGUAAUACGUAGGGUGCAAGCGUUAAUCGGAAUUACUGGGCGUAAAGCGUGUGUAGGCGGUUCGGAAAGAAAGAUGUGAAAUCCCAGGGCUCAACCUUGGAACUGCAUUUUUAACUGCCGAGCUAGAGUAUGUCAGAGGGGGGUAGAAUUCCACGUGUAGCAGUGAAAUGCGUAGAUAUGUGGAGGAAUACCGAUGGCGAAGGCAGCCCCCUGGGAUAAUACUGACGCUCAGACACGGAAGCGUGGGGAGCAAACAG